Molecule: ribosomal RNA, 433 nt
Filed under: uncultured bacterium
Lineage: Bacteria
Description: partial 16S ribosomal RNA
Rfam family: Bacterial small subunit ribosomal RNA
Source: RNAcentral
AACGAACGCUGGCGGCAUGCCUAACACAUGCAAGUCGAACGAGACCUUCGGGUCUAGUGGCGUACGGGGGCGUAACGCGUGGGAACCUGCCCUUAGGUUCGGCAUAACUCCCCGAAAGGGGUGCUAAUACCGGAUAAUGUCUUCGGACCAAAGAUUUAUCGCCCUUGGAUGGGCCCGCGUUGGAUUAGCUAGUUGGUAGGGUAAAAGCCUACCAAGGCGACGAUCCAUAGCUGGUCUGAGAGGAUGAUCGGCCACACUGGGACUGAGACACGGCCCAGACUCCUACGGGAGGCAGCAGUGGGGAAUAUUGGACAAUGGGCGAAAGCCUGAUCCAGCAAUGCCGCGUGAGUGAUGAAGGCCUUAGGGUUGUAAAGCUCUUUUACCCGGGAUGAUAAUGACAGUACCGGGAGAAUAAGCUCCGGCUAACUCCGUG